RNAcentral lists this ribosomal RNA (468 nucleotides) under uncultured bacterium. Its description in RNAcentral is "partial 16S ribosomal RNA". It matches the Rfam family "Bacterial small subunit ribosomal RNA", at positions 28 to 507 of the family's 1533-position model. The record is from RNAcentral.
GACGAACGCUGGCGGCGUGCUUAACACAUGCAAGUCGAACGGAAAGGCCCUGCGUUUGUGGGGUGCUCGAGUGGCGAACGGGUGAGUAACACGUGAGUAACCUGCCCUUGACUUUGGGAUAACUUCAGGAAACUGGGGCUAAUACCGGAUAGGAGCUACUGCUGCAUGGUGGGGGUUGGAAAGUUUCGGCGGUUGGGGAUGGACUCGCGGCUUAUCAGCUUGUUGGUGGGGUAGUGGCUUACCAAGGCUUUGACGGGUAGCCCGCCUGAGAGGGUGGACGGCCACCUUGGGCCUGCGAUACGGCCCAGUCUCCUACGGGCGGCAGUAGGGGGGAAUAUUGCACAAUGGCCGGAAGCGUGAUGCAGCAACGCUGCGUGCGGGAUGACGUCCUUCGGGUUGUAAACCGCUUUCGCCUGUGACGAAGCGUGAGUGACGGUAAUUGGUAAAGAAGCACCGGCUAACUACGUG